RNAcentral lists this ribosomal RNA (475 nucleotides) under uncultured bacterium. RNAcentral describes it as "bacterial SSU rRNA". It matches the Rfam family "Bacterial small subunit ribosomal RNA", at positions 335 to 799 of the family's 1533-position model. The record is from RNAcentral.
ACUCCUACGGGAGGCAGCAGUGGGGAAUAUUGCACAAUGGGGGGAAACCCUGAUGCAGCCAUGCCGCGUGUGUGAAGAAGGCCUUCGGGUUGUAAAGCACUUUCAGUAGGGAGGAAGGUAGUGUAGUUAACACCUGCAUUAUUUGACGUUACCUACAGAAGAAGCACCGGCUAACUCCGUGCCAGCAGCCGCGGUAAUACGGAGGGUGCGAGCGUUAAUCGGAAUUACUGGGCGUAAAGCGCAUGCAGGCGGCCUGUUAAGUCAGAUGUGAAAGCCCGGGGCUUAACCUCGGAAUUGCAUUUGAAACUGGCAGGCUAGAGUCUUGUAGAGGGGGGUAGAAUUUCAGGUGUAGCGGUGAAAUGCGUAGAGAUCUGAAGGAAUACCAGUGGCGAAGGCGGCCCCCUGGACAAAGACUGACGCUCAGAUGCGAAAGCGUGGGGAGCAAAACAGGAUUAGAUACCCUGGUAGGAUAGCG